RNAcentral lists this RNase P RNA (415 nucleotides) under Desulfoglaeba alkanexedens ALDC. RNAcentral's name for it is "Bacterial RNase P class A". It matches the Rfam family "Bacterial RNase P class A". From Rfam's summary of the family: Ribonuclease P (RNase P) is a ubiquitous endoribonuclease, found in archaea, bacteria and eukarya as well as chloroplasts and mitochondria. Its best characterised activity is the generation of mature 5'-ends of tRNAs by cleaving the 5'-leader elements of precursor-tRNAs. Lineage: Bacteria; Pseudomonadati; Thermodesulfobacteriota; Syntrophobacteria; Syntrophobacterales; Syntrophobacteraceae. The record is from Rfam by way of RNAcentral.
GGAGCAGGGCAGAUGGUCGCCGGCCCCGGCUGGUCCGGGGCGGGAGGAAAGUCCGGGCUCCAUAGGGCAGGGUGCUGGGUAACGCCCAGUCUCGGCGACGAGCAGGAAAGUGCCACAGAAAGCAAACCGCCGAGCGCUAAACCGGGCUCUGGAUGCCGCCCGCAUCGGACAGGGUUCGGGAAAGGACUCGGUAAGGGUGAAACGGUGAGGUAAGAGCUCACCAGUCCCGAUGGCGACAUCGGGAGCUAGGCAAACCCCACCCGGAGCAAGGCCAAGUAGGAGAGCGUUUGAGAGUGGCCCGCUCGAAGCUCUCGGGUCGGCCGCUUGAGCCCGCCGGAAACGGCGGGCCUAGAGGAAUGACCAUCGCCUCCGCCACAGGCGGAGGAACAGAACCCGGCUUACAACUGCUCCAGAU